CACCCGCAUCACAUAACAAGAGUGGAGUCCAUUAUCCUCUCUCCGUUCUAGGUCAGACCAUUGAUCUAAAUAAGCCUAAACAAGCUGAGCUCGAGUCCUCACCUGUGCCAACGAACCGAGCUCAAACUUGACUACUUAAGCUUGCACGAGCCCGGGCUCGAGCUCAAGCCUAAGGGUUGACCAGUGAGCCAAGCUUGGGCUUGCUAUAUUCGGGGUCAAUUCGACUCAUUUACACCCCUAGGUCUUCUCCUAUUGAUAGUCUCCUAUACGCUUUGAAGCUACUCCUCGACGGCGAUCUCGAGAGAUCAAUCACUGCAAGCCAUGAGCCGAUGCCGGUCUCAACGUCGCUCCGUCCCAGCUGCCGAUCUCCUCUAGUCUCUGAUGAUGACGAAGGGACUGUUGUGGCAUUGGGCGAUAAAAGCAGCUUCCUCACCGAGCUCGUCCGAUUCUUGUUUGGCCCCACUUGACGUUGCGCUUCCAUCGUCAGCAGCAAGGACAGACAAAGGCACUGCUCUGACGCCGUCACACAAAGCCCGAGCUGCACGUCCGACCGCUCCAAUCUCUGCUGUGCUGCUCUACCCGUGUAGCCCCAACAAUCACAGUUGCUGCUGCCCCCCGUUCAGUCAUUCCUUCACUUAGUUCGGUCUGUGAACAUACACAUCUUUUUUUGGGAAAUUUUGAAUUGGACAUCUCUCUCUCUCUCUCAAUUUGAUGACUGCAAUUUAGUGGGUACAGGUUGAAUUUUCGUUUUCAAUUCAUUCUCAAUUUGAUGAAGCUCUGAAGAUGGUCACAGCGGAGGACGAUGUUUGGAAUGCUUAUGUUGAGGCAGAUAUUACUUUGUAGAAGUUUUGAUUACAUAUUUUUAUGUCGAUCAUGACUUGAAAUGUUAUUGAGCUCCUAUUUUGUUCUCUUACUCUUAUUUUCAGUGUCACAAAAAAGCUGCUCAAUUUAGAACCUGAACCUUCCCUCAUUUUGAAGAGCUUUCAUUGAUAUAUGCAAGGUAUCGAGCUACAGGUAGGGAUGCACCGGCAGUUGAAGAUAUUCUUCAGGAAAUGGAGUUGGAAGAUAGGGCAAAUAGAGGAGAUGAUGAGGUCCAUAAUAGUACAAAUGUGGAGGAAGCAACCGGUCCAAACCCUGGGACAUCAGAAGAUAAGGUCUCGUACUUGUCCCCCAAUGAGAGAGGUUUCAGGAUGUUCCUCGGGAAAGAGAAAAAAAGAAUACCGACUUUGUGGCACUUACUGAAGCAAUGAAUAAUAUGGCAGCUGAAAUGAAGGAGGCUUGUGUGAUUCUCUCCAAGAGUGUCCACUCUGAUAUAUUGCAAGAAAAGCUGCUCGAACUUCCAAAUGCACUUCGUGCUGUCGAUGGCCUUAGCGAAGCAGACAGAAGAAGGGCUAUUCGAAAGUUCAGAAACCAUCCAAGCGAAGUGCUAAUCUUUUUUGGUACUGAUCCGGAGGAUCGCUUGGAAAUGGUUAAGGCACUUCAUAAGAUGGACUGGUCUUACUUUGGGGAGGGUUUGACUCUUCUUGGAGGAUUUAGAUGAUAAGGAUGGCUCAGAUACUUGAAGGAAACUCGCGUUGCUGUGAUAUCUGCGAUCUCCAUUAGGCUAUUUUGAAAAAAAAAAGUUGUCAGUAAACUUUUGAAAAACUUCAUUUAUGUAUCUAUAUUUGCUAAUUGGGUAUGUUGUGAACUUUUGCCCUUUCGAAUACUUUUUGAUUGAAUCGGGGUGAACGUUAUAUAGAUUGCGUAUAUUAUAAAGUGA
Molecule: non-coding RNA, 1759 nt
Organism: Punica granatum (pomegranate)
Lineage: Eukaryota; Viridiplantae; Streptophyta; Magnoliopsida; Myrtales; Lythraceae
Source: RefSeq, a predicted model, not a curated record